GAUGAACGCUGGCGGCGUGCCUAAUACAUGCAAGUCGAGCGAACGGACGAGAAGCUUGCUUCUCUGAUGUUAGCGGCGGACGGGUGAGUAACACGUGGAUAACCUACCUAUAAGACUGGGAUAACUUCGGGAAACCGGAGCUAAUACCGGAUAAUAUUUUGAACCGCAUGGUUCAAAAGUGAAAGACGGUCUUGCUGUCACUUAUAGAUGGAUCCGCGCUGCAUUAGCUAGUUGGUAAGGUAACGGCUUACCAAGGCAACGAUGCAUAGCCGACCUGAGAGGGUGAUCGGCCACACUGGAACGGAGACACGGUCCGGACUCCUACGGGAGGCGGCAGUAGGGAAUCUUCCGCAAUGGGCGAAAGCCUGACGGAGCAACGCCGCGUGAGUGAUGAAGGUCUUCGGAUCGUAAAACUCUGUUAUUAGGGAAGAACAUAUGUGUAAGUAACUGUGCACAUCUUGACGGUACCUAAUCAGAAAGCCACGGCUAACUACGUG
This 497-nucleotide ribosomal RNA is filed under the name uncultured bacterium. Its description in RNAcentral is "partial 16S ribosomal RNA". It matches the Rfam family "Bacterial small subunit ribosomal RNA", at positions 28 to 507 of the family's 1533-position model. The record is from RNAcentral.